GGAAACGACAUUAGACAGUAGGGAAACCGUACAUGAAAAUAUAAAGACGGUAUGGAUUGUGCAUGAAAUUUGCAGACAGACAACUAACCAUAAAAUUAUCAAAGAGACAAGCCUUGCUCUAUGGGUCAUCGAAAUGGGAUCAAAAUUGAUUAUCCACGCUAGCAAUCCAUUUUACAGAAACUUAAUUUGAAAAUGCUAAUUGCAAAACUUGGAUACAUGCCAACCAAAACAAAGGAGCAUUUGCUUUUCACUAAAGCACUAAAAGAUUAAUCGUGUAUCAACUAGUCAGCCCAAAGAUAAACAGCUGGUACGAAACAAAUGAGUCCACAAAGAAAACUCGGAAAUGAACCAGUACAAUUCUCCAAACUGCUUUCCCAGAGCAAAAUCAUCAAAUCAAAUGUGGGAGUACUCCAAAUCAUAACCAGCGUCCAAACCAUACAAGAUACCCGGUAUCACGGAUCACUCUAUAACCAGAAACAUAAGAGAAGACAAUGAUAACAAAAAUCAUUAUAAA
Molecule: unclassified non-coding RNA, 514 nt
Filed under: Hevea brasiliensis (rubber tree)
Lineage: Eukaryota; Viridiplantae; Streptophyta; Magnoliopsida; Malpighiales; Euphorbiaceae
Source: RNAcentral